This 497-nucleotide ribosomal RNA is filed under the name uncultured bacterium. RNAcentral describes it as "partial 16S ribosomal RNA". It matches the Rfam family "Bacterial small subunit ribosomal RNA", at positions 28 to 507 of the family's 1533-position model. The record is from RNAcentral.
GAUGAACGCUGGCGGCGUGCCUAAUACAUGCAAGUCGAGCGAACAGACGAGGAGCUUGCUCCUCUGACGUUAGCGGCGGACGGGUGAGUAACACGUGGAUAACCUACCUAUAAGACUGGGAUAACUUCGGGAAACCGGAGCUAAUACCGGAUAAUAUAUUGAACCGCAUGGUUCAAUAGUGAAAGACGGUUUUGCUGUCACUUAUAGAUGGAUCCGCGCCGCAUUAGCUAGUUGGUAAGGUAACGGCUUACCAAGGCAACGAUGCGUAGCCGACCUGAGAGGGUGAUCGGCCACACUGGAACUGAGACACGGUCCAGACUCCUACGGGAGGCAGCAGUAGGGAAUCUUCCGCAAUGGGCGAAAGCCUGACGGAGCAACGCCGCGUGAGUGAUGAAGGUCUUCGGAUCGUGAAACUCUGUUAUUAGUGAAGAACAAAUGUGUAAGUAACUAUGCACGUCUUGACGGUACCUAAUCAGAAAGCCACGGCUAACUACGUG